UGGGGAAUUGUUCGCAAUGGGCGCAAGCCUGACGACGCAACGCCGCGUGGAGGAUGAAGAUCUUCGGGUCGUAAACUCCUGUCGAGCGGGACGAAUGGUCCGCGACCUAAUACGUCGCGGAAGUGACGGUACCGCUAGAGGAAGCCCCGGCUAACUCCGUGCCAGCAGCCGCGGUAAUACGGGGGGGGCUAGCGUUGUUCGGAAUUACUGGGCGUAAAGGGCUCGUAGGUGGCCAACUAAGUCAUGCGUGAAAUCCCUCGGCUUAACCGGGGAACUGCGUCUGAUACUGGAUGGCUUGAAUCCGGGAGAGGGAUGCGGAAUUCCAGGUGUAGCGGUGAAAUGCGUAGAUAUCUGGAGGAACACCGGUGGCGAAGGCGGCAUCCUGGACCGGCAUUGACACUGAGGAGCGAAAGCCAGGGGAGCAAACGGGAUUAGAUACCCCGGGUAGUCCUGGCCCUAAACGAUGAAUGCUUGGUGUGACGGGUAUCGAUCCCUGUCGUGCCGAAGCUAACG
Molecule: ribosomal RNA, 513 nt
Filed under: uncultured Acidobacteriota bacterium
Lineage: Bacteria; Pseudomonadati; Acidobacteriota
Description: bacterial SSU rRNA
Rfam family: Bacterial small subunit ribosomal RNA
Source: RNAcentral